AUUGAACGCUGGCGGCAUGCCUUACACAUGCAAGUCGAACGGCAGCACGGGGGCAACCCUGGUGGCGAGUGGCGAACGGGUGAGUAAUGCAUCGGAACGUACCCGGAAGUGGGGGAUAACGUAGCGAAAGUUACGCUAAUACCGCAUAUUCUGUGAGCAGGAAAGCAGGGGAUCGCAAGACCUUGCGCUUUCGGAGCGGCCGAUGUCGGAUUAGCUAGUUGGUGAGGUAAAAGCUCACCAAGGCGACGAUCCGUAGCUGGUCUUAGAGGAUGAUCAGCCACACUGGGACUGAGACACGGCCCAGACUCCUACGGGAGGCAGCAGUGGGAAUUUUGGACAAUGGGCGAAAGCCUGAUCCAGCCAUGCCGCGUGAGUGAAGAAGGCCUCGGUUGUAAG
Molecule: ribosomal RNA, 396 nt
Filed under: uncultured bacterium
Lineage: Bacteria
Description: bacterial SSU rRNA
Rfam family: Bacterial small subunit ribosomal RNA
Source: RNAcentral